RNAcentral lists this ribosomal RNA (143 nucleotides) under uncultured bacterium. RNAcentral describes it as "partial 16S ribosomal RNA". It matches the Rfam family "Bacterial small subunit ribosomal RNA", at positions 354 to 509 of the family's 1533-position model. The record is from RNAcentral.
GUGGGGAAUAUUGCACAAGUACGGGGGGAAACCCCUGAUGCAGCGACGCCGCGUGAAGGAAGAAGUAUCUCGGUAUGUAAACUUCUAUCAGCAGGGAAGAUAGUGACGGUACCUGACUAAGAAGCCCCGGCUAACUACGUGCC